UGUCCUUUAAGACUGACACAGUGCCUAUUGUAAGGAAAUGGAAGAGUGCAGUGUUUGCAGUGUUGAGGAUGCCAUCAGGAAAAGCUGUCAUGGGUUCGCCAGCAGGCAAACCCCUCGAGAUUCCCGACAGACUCAACAUCCACAGAAGGUGAAAGACAGCACCUGAACGCUGCCUGACAGCGUAUGACAGAAACAUCGCAUGUGCACUGCAGCAUAUUACCCAUAAAGCCUUCCCCAGCACCUCAGGCCAGCCUGUAAUUUGAUCUCGUGAUCACCUUCUGCAAGGUCAAAGGUCAGGUCUAAUGAAUGAAGGGCUGUACGCUCCUUUUGGUAAUCCAUCUUCAUUGCUGAGAAGUAUACCGUGUUGUGACAGAACGGACACUGAGAGAUUCUAGAAAAUGGAAAGCAGGUACCUAACACAGAUACAGCCAGACAACCAAUCAGACCUCCAAUAUAUGCACUGGACUGGAUGGAGAAACUCAGCCGCCAGCCAAUAACACGCAAGACAGAGUGAGACGAGUAUCUGAAUCUGCUGAUGUAUCGCUGCAUUUUCUGCACUGGUUCUGCAGGACAAUUUGGGGAUUUAAACAUGACAUUAAAUGGUGAAAGCCGUAACUGAAAGCAUUUCAAUUUUGACAAAAAUUAAAUUAACAAACACACCAGCUGUGAAGAAGAAGAACUACAUUGCUGGUGUUACAAUUCUAUGGAUAUCCAUUAGAUAUCUAUAAAAUGCAAGUAAUGAUAUAAUUGUGCACAAGUAGGAUAGCAGUCUUAACUUUUAAAAGGGAAAAGGAAAUCAUAAAAAAUAU
Long non-coding RNA from Cyprinus carpio carpio, 809 nucleotides. Lineage: Eukaryota; Metazoa; Chordata; Actinopteri; Cypriniformes; Cyprinidae. The record is from Ensembl.